GACGAACGCUGGCGGCGUGCCUAAUACAUGCAAGUAGAACGCUGAAGAGAGGAGCUUGCUCUUCUUGGAUGAGUUGCGAACGGGUGAGUAACGCGUAGGUAACCUGCCUGGUAGCGGGGGAUAACUAUUGGAAACGAUAGCUAAUACCGCAUAAAAUUGAUUAUUGCAUGAUACUUAAUUGAAAGAUGCAACUGCAUCACUACCAGAUGGACCUGCGUUGUAUUAGCUAGUUGGUGAGGUAACGGCUCACCAAGGCGACGAUACAUAGCCGACCUGAGAGGGUGGUCGGCCACACUGGGACUGAGACACGGCCCAGACUCCUACGGGGGGCAGCAGUAGGGAAUCUUCGGCAAUGGGGGGGACCCUGACCGAGCAACGCCGCGUGAGUGAAGAAGGGUUUCGGAUCGUAAAGCUCGGUUGUAAGGGAAGAACGGGUGUGAGAGUGGAAAGUUCACACUGUGACGGUAUCUUACCAGAAAGGGACGGCUAACUACGUG
This 497-nucleotide ribosomal RNA is filed under the name uncultured bacterium. RNAcentral's name for it is "partial 16S ribosomal RNA". It matches the Rfam family "Bacterial small subunit ribosomal RNA", at positions 28 to 507 of the family's 1533-position model. The record is from RNAcentral.